UUGCACGCUGGCGGCAGGCCUAACCCCUGCAAGUCGAACGGUAACAGAAAGCAGCUUGCUGCUUUGCUGACGAGUGGCGGACGGGUGAGUAAUGUCUGGGAAACUGCCUGAUGGAGGGGGAUAACUACUGGAAACGGUAGCUAAUACCGCAUAACGUCGCAAGACCAAAGAGGGGGACCUUCGGGCCUCUUGCCAUCGGAUGUGCCCAGAUGGGAUUAGCUAGUAGGUGGGGUAACGGCUCACCUAGGCGACGAUCCCUAGCUGGUCUGAGAGGAUGACCAGCCACACUGGAACUGAGACACGGUCCAGACUCCUACGGGAGGCAGCAGUGGGGAAUAUUGCACAAUGGGCGCAAGCCUGAUGCAGCCAUGCCGCGUGUAUGAAGAAGGCCUUCGGGUCGUAAAGUACUUUCAGCGGGGAGGAAGAGAGUAAAGUUAAUACCUUUGCUCAUUGACGUUACCCGCAGAAGAAGCACCGGCUAACUCCGUG
This 489-nucleotide ribosomal RNA is filed under the name uncultured bacterium. RNAcentral describes it as "partial 16S ribosomal RNA". It matches the Rfam family "Bacterial small subunit ribosomal RNA", at positions 30 to 507 of the family's 1533-position model. The record is from RNAcentral.